GUUUUUUAAAGGAUUUUGCACUUGGCCAGACAGGAGAGGAAUGCCCAUUUUCUCCCUUCCUAAGCUAGAUCCAAGUAAAAGAAGGUUCAGUUUUUCCCCAUAAAUAUUCUUGGGUGAUGAGUCUUGAUCUGAAGUUUAUUUUGUUUCAGUUCCUUGUGUGCAUCCACCAUGCUGGUCCAAAAAGUGCAUUGCUCUCCAGUUGAGCUAGACGGAGCCCUUUGGCCAGAAGUCAAUGUAUUUUGGAUGAGAUAGAUUUUCUGACAAGGUGUGUUUGUUUUCUUAUGCCAGAAGGCAGAGAAGUCAAUCCUAGUCAUUUUUCUCCUUGGAUACUAAAUUCACAUAGGUCAGCUGGCUUCCUGUAGAGCCCUGAGCUUCAUCAUUUGUGACUCCAGCUUCCACGGGACUCUGAGCCUCUCACUUGUUCUCCCCUAAUAAACAAUGACCCAGACCUAACUGUGUCUUUUAAAAAUCUCAGAUCCUCCAGGAACAUCUUUAUUGCUUCCUCAUCAGUAAUUUUGCAGCAAAUUUCUAUUUUUGUUUUUCCUUGUCUGUUCUCCCAGCCACCAGUUGAUAGACAGAUGAACUGGUGGAUAAAUGUUUGGUGUGAUGGAUAGAUAGAUACAGACGACAGACAGAACCAGUACUCUGAAGCAACUUAAGAACUAUGGCCUUGAUUUCUUGAAGCUGUAGGUUCUGAUCCAGGAAACAUUUAUUUAGCACCUGCUGCCAGAAAUUUAUUAUACCAUUUCAAACUCAAUAGCAC
RNAcentral lists this long non-coding RNA (763 nucleotides) under Bos taurus (domestic cattle). RNAcentral describes it as "long non-coding RNA NONBTAT005734". The record is from RNAcentral. Lineage: Eukaryota; Metazoa; Chordata; Mammalia; Artiodactyla; Bovidae.